This 404-nucleotide ribosomal RNA is filed under the name uncultured bacterium. RNAcentral describes it as "bacterial SSU rRNA". It matches the Rfam family "Bacterial small subunit ribosomal RNA", at positions 917 to 1322 of the family's 1533-position model. The record is from RNAcentral.
GGGCCCGCACAAGCGGUGGAGCAUGUGGUUUAAUUCGAUGAUACGCGAGGAACCUUACCAGGGCUUAAAUGUAGUGGGACAGGUCUAGAGAUAGACCCUUCUUCGGACUCAUUACAAGGUGCUGCAUGGUUGUCGUCAGCUCGUGCCGUGAGGUGUCAGGUUAAGUCCUAUAACGAGCGCAACCCCUAUCGUUAGUUGCCAGCGAGUAAUGUCGGGAACUCUAACGAAACUGCCAGUGCAAACUGUGAGGAAGGUGGGGAUGACGUCAAAUCAUCACGGCCCUUACGUCCUGGGCUACACACGUGCUACAAUGGCCGGUACAGAGAGCAGCCACUUCGCAAGAAGGAGCGAAUCUAUUAAAACCUAGUCGUAGUCCGGAUCGGAGUCUGCAACUCGACUCCGUG